CACUGCUGAAUAGUCCCAAACAGGACGAAACAGUUGUCCAGCGC
Molecule: non-coding RNA, 44 nt
Filed under: Echinostoma caproni
Lineage: Eukaryota; Metazoa; Platyhelminthes; Trematoda; Plagiorchiida; Echinostomatidae
Source: RNAcentral